Molecule: long non-coding RNA, 2890 nt
Filed under: Sus scrofa (pig)
Lineage: Eukaryota; Metazoa; Chordata; Mammalia; Artiodactyla; Suidae
Description: lncRNA (ENSSSCG00035005745.1)
Source: RNAcentral
UUUUUUUUUUUUUCUUCCCCAAGUAUUUACCACUCUGGAAACAAAAACUUUCUCUUCCUUGCUCUCAAAAUAAAUUUGUGUUUGUGCUUUCCUUCAACAUGCCAAUGCGAAAUUUUUCAACUACUCUGUGAAAAAAAUCAAAGCUAGUUAGGCUCUUUAAAUCACAAUAUUUACUGAAAGGGCUCUGUAUAUGACAGAUUUGGACCCUAAAAAGAAAAAGAGUUGCUUCAAAAGCUGUAUGUAAAUAGAAGGCAAUUGGUAAGCAACCCCUGCAAAAUGAAAAGACCCUGUGCCAAUUUGACUUUGGGAAAACUAAAGGACUUAAAGCCCCACUGGGAACAACUUAGAAACACUCUUGGAGUUCCCGUCGUGGCGCAGUGGUUAACAAAUCCGGCUACGAACCACGAGGUUGCGGGUUCAAUCCCUGGCCUUGCUCAGUGGGUUGAGGAUCCGGCAUUGCCGUGAGCUGUGGUGUAGGUCGCAGACGCGGCUCGGAUCCCGCGUUGCUGUGGCUCUGGCUUAGGCUGGUGGCUACAGCUCCGAUUCGACCCCUAGCCUGGGAACCUCCAUAUGCCAUGAGAGCGGCCCAAGAAAAUGGCAAAAAGCCAAAUAAUAAUAAUAAAAAAAAAAGAAACACUCUCACUACCUGUGUGCCAGCUUGUCAAACACAACAAAGCAAAACAGCCGAGUGAAUAUUAGCAGUCUACACAAUUAUAAUAAUUACAAGAAUUACAAACAUCUAGUAUUUUAUCGACUAUUCCCACCUAGAUAGCAUUCUCAGUUGUAUAAGAGUAGUGUUGGAGUUCCCAUCGUGGCGCAGUGGUUAUCCAAUCCAACUAGGAACCAUGAGGUUGUGGGUUCGAUCCCUGGCCUUGCUCAUGGGUUAAGAAUCCAGUGUUGCAGUGAAUUGCAGUGUAGGUGGAAGAGGCAGCUUGGUUCUAGUGUUGCUGUGGCCCGUGGUAUAGGCUGGCAGUUGCAGCUCUGAUUUGACCCCUAGCCUGGAAUUCCAUAUGCUAUGGAUGUGGCCUAAAAUAACUAACUAACUAAAUCAAUAAAUACAUAAAUAAGGUGAAUUUCUCUUUAAAUAGACUACAGACUAAAAUUGGCUAGCAUCUCGUGACUAUUCACGGGAUACAAAGUCUUCUGGUCCAUCCCAUAUUAAGUGGCUAUAUUAGAAGAAAAUGGUCAGCCUCAUCUCAUCUGGUUUGUAUCUCACUCCACAGAGCUUAGGGCCAGAGCAGCACAUUCAACUUUAUGAUGAUAGUUAUUUUAGGUUAUCAAUAGUGAGAAUAUUUUGCUUUUGAAAUAUUCUAAAUAUUUAGCUAUUUAGAUAAUCUUAAUGAAAUUUUUCUUUAAACUCUUCUUUAAAACACUGAAGAUCAUUUCACAAUGUAUACUAAUAUAAACCAUCAUCUUACACACCUUAAAUAUAUACAAUUUUUGUCAAUUAUACCUAAAUAAAUCUAAAAAUAUUCUGAAAAGCAGGGAAGUUGAAAACAUGAAAGAAAGAGAAAUACAAAUAUUGAUGAAACAUGUAAGCACCUAGGGAAAUAAAUCAAAUUUUGAAGUUUAAAAAUAAAAUGUUUAAAGUGAGGGAGGGGUAGGGAGUAGAAGGGGACUGAGAAUUGGAAGUUAGCAGAUACAAAUGAUUACAUUUAGAAUGAAUGAGCAGUGAGGACCUACUGUAUAGAACAGAGAACUAUAUCCAGUCUCUUGGGAUAGAUCAUGAUGGGAGAUAAUAUAAGAAAGGGAAUGUGGGGAGUUCCCAUUGUGGCUCAGUGGGUUAAGACCCCAGUUAGUAUCCAGGACGAUGCGGGUUUGAUCCCUGGCUUCACUCAGUGGGUUAAGGAUCCAGUGGUGAUGCAAGCUGCAGCUCCAAUUUGACUUCUACCCCUGGGAACUUCUGUAUGUCAUAGGUUCAGCUGAAAGGAAGAAAGGAAGAAAGGAAGGAAAGAAGGAAGGAAGGAAGGAAGAGAAAGAAAGAAAGAAAGAAAGAAAGAAAGACAGACAGACAGACAGACAGAAAGAAAGAAAGAAAGGAAGGAAGGAAGGAAGGAAGGAAGAAAGACAGACAGACAGACAGACAGACAGAAAGAAAGGAAGGAAGGAAGGAAGGAAGAAAGGAAGAAAGAAAAAGAAAGAUGUGUGUGUGUAUAUACAUAUAUGUAUGUGUGUGUAUGUGAUGUAUACACACUGUAUCACUUUGCUGUACAGCAGAAAUUGGCACGCUAUAAAUAAACUAUGCUUUGAUAAAAUAAAUGUUUGAAGUGAAUGAUUAAAUCCAACUUGUGCCUUUUCCUUUUCUGAGGAAAGCCCACUUUAGGGAUAACCAUCAAAUGCCUUUCAUUCUCUUUUAUUUGUGACCAGAGGUCCUGCCAUUCAGCACUGAGUGCUGUUCUCUUUGGGGUCCAUGGCUGUGAGCCACAGUGCUUGGUGGGCUGCAGCCCAGUGGCUUGUGGAACAAUCAGGGGACAUGAUAUAAAGGAGCCGUGCAGCCCUUGGCUCCUGCACUCUUGCCAGCACAGCAUCUGUCUCCUCCUUCGACUUAUUACCACACUGAAAUUGCUUUCUGAUACAUCUCUAUUUCCAUACAAAACUGUCAAUCAUUUUCCCUGCCAUGUUCAAUAGGGAAUGGGAGGCGUGCUGAUGGGGCCAUUUGGACAUGGUGUGACAGGAAAAGGUCCAUUUUACAAACCAGCAUCAUAAAACCCAGAGAUUUGCAUCUGCCUUCCCCCUUUUCCUCUUGCUCAUGAAGCCAAACCAAAUUAAACCUGCAAAAUAUUUGCAAUUCACUCUCCUCUACCAACAUUAUGUGAAACAGACUUGACCACCAAAAACCAGUAAAGGUAAAGAAAGGUAUCCUGUUUUUGCAGAAAACGCACAUACACAC